RNAcentral lists this ribosomal RNA (255 nucleotides) under uncultured bacterium. RNAcentral describes it as "partial 16S ribosomal RNA". It matches the Rfam family "Bacterial small subunit ribosomal RNA", at positions 524 to 776 of the family's 1533-position model. The record is from RNAcentral.
UACGUAGGGUGCGAGCGUUAAUCGGAAUUACUGGGCGUAAAGCGUGCGCAGGCGGCGCGUUAAGACAGGUGUGAAAGCCCCCGAGCUUAACUUGGGAAUUGCGCUUGUGACUGGCGUGCUGGAGUGUGGCAGAGGGAGGUGGAAUUCCACGUGUAGCAGUGAAAUGCGUAGAGAUGUGGAGGAACACCCGUGGCGAAGGCGGCCAACUGGGCCGACCCUGACGCUGAGGCGCGGACAGCGUGGGGAGCAAACAGG